Molecule: small nucleolar RNA, 106 nt
Filed under: Gossypium arboreum
Lineage: Eukaryota; Viridiplantae; Streptophyta; Magnoliopsida; Malvales; Malvaceae
Description: Plant small nucleolar RNA R71
Rfam family: Plant small nucleolar RNA R71
About the family: R71 is a member of the C/D box family of snoRNAs containing the C (UGAUGA) and D (CUGA) box motifs. Multiple nearly identical copies of this snoRNA have been identified in Arabidopsis, and it is thought to function as a 2'-O-ribose methylation guide for 18S ribosomal RNA.
Source: Rfam by way of RNAcentral
AACCCAUGGUGAGGGCACCUUCUCAGUAAAUCCUUAUAUCUCUCCCAUGCAUCUUAAAGAGUUUCUAAGUCCAUCUAUACAAACGAAGAGAUAUCAUUAUGUAAUU